Molecule: long non-coding RNA, 1969 nt
Organism: Herpailurus yagouaroundi (jaguarundi)
Lineage: Eukaryota; Metazoa; Chordata; Mammalia; Carnivora; Felidae
Exons: 2
Source: RefSeq, a predicted model, not a curated record
CGUGGAGAUGUGGUGCAGGCUGAGCCCUGCCCGGGCUGCUCACUCCUUCUGCCCAGGAGGACCAGGGUUCUAGAACCCUCCCAGGGUGCUGUGUGCCUGAAGGUUGGGGCGACGAGCCCGCGGUCCUGCUGCUCUGCUGUGUGUGGCUCUGCCCCCUUUAAAUGUGAAAGCUCAGGGAGCAAGGCGCCUGCUGGGACCCGAGGGGGCAGCAAGGAAGUACCUUUGGGGGCCAUUCUCUGUGCCCAGACGGCAGGCUCACUGGGCUGGGCUAAUGAGCCUGGAGGUCCUCAAGGUCAAAUGAAACAAAUGGCCAUGUGCCUGGAGGUGAGUCAUGCCUCUUGUUCUACCCCAGCAGGCUUCUGUGCCAGGGAGACCAGGAGUCCCCAAGGGGGGGGUAUUUGAAGGGCAUUUGGGUAGCUUGUUGGUCACAUAUUUGUCCUGUAUCUUUGGGCUUGUCCUGGUAUCCACAGUCUCACCCUGAACUGAAGCUGGAUCAGCCUCUAGACCUUGGCUGCCUCCCACUUCUUGCCUGGGGAUUCUGCUUCCGAAGUUCCUUGGUAUCUAUGACCUUGUCCCUUGGAGGACUGCAUGGUUUUCUCAGCUUUUUUCCUUGGAUGCUGCUCAGUUUAGGAAGGCUGUUUGGUGUAGUGGUUAAAUCUACUGAAGCCCUGGGUUUGAAUCCCGGCCAUGCCACUUACUGGCUGGACAACUCAGUUAAUCCCUCUGUGCCUGUUUCUUGUAAAAUGGACACAGUAACAAUACUGACCUUAGAGGGUUAUUGCCAAGAUGACAAAAUGCAUGUAAGAUGUUCAGGUGGUACUUGGCAUAAAGUAAGCUGUUAUUUUUUUGGUUUCAUUCAGCUUCCUGAUAUCGGGUUGGUCACUAUACCCCUGGGGAGACCUGUCUCCCUUAAAAGUAACUUGGAGGUUUGGCAUUCUGGAAAAUGGGACCCGUCGUUGUUGGUGGGAGUAUUGCAGGCUGGCCCUGCUGAGCAGACCUGAGACACAGUGUCCUUCCAAAUUUGGUGGCCUUUCCUUGGUGGGGAGGAGAAAAGCAGCUGGCCUCCAGACUCGGCACCUUGCUGUGCCACCACCGCUGUGUGCCCUCAGGUGUGUCUGGCCUCUCUUGCCUGGAUUUCCUAAUCUUUAGGUGGGUACAGUGUUGCAGCCAAUGAUAAGGAGACAGACGUCUCAUCUGUUCCCCACAGUGGCAAUGGCGGUGGUGGCGGCUGGCACUGGGCUAAGUGACCACCUCCUGAACAUCACUCCCUUUCCUCCUCUCAACAGUGUUAUGAAGUGUGGACAUCAGCUGGCAACUGAGGAUGCAGAGAGCUUAACCACCUGAUGCAAGGGCGCGUGUCUCAUCGGUGGCAGAGCUGGCACUGGACACGUGGGCCUCUGCUCUGAAGCACAAGGCCUGGCAAGUUGCCAUUGACAGUCCUCCUUGUUGUCAUACCACGAGAGGCUGGUCUGCCACCCCGAAAUCCUCAGAAUUACCCAGGCACUCAAAAUAUCUCCAUGCCUGGGCCCACCCCAGACCCACUAAAGCAGCCUUUCUGGGACGUGGGCACCAGUAUGUUGCAGGCUUUCCAGGUGAUUGCUGUGCCUUGCCACGUUUGAGAAGCCUUGCUCUUCUAGUCCACCCCUCACAGAUCACUUUCCUCCCCGUGUGGUCUUCACUGCCCUGUCCAGUCCCCUCCCUCCUGGUAGAUCAGGGGAGCCUUCCUCUCCAGGGGCUCUCACCUCUGUCCCAUACCCCUGACUGCUUCCCCAGGCUAGGACACCCUGCCCACCAGGGGUCCCACACCUUCGUCCCCGGGUUGCACCCCUCUUCCUUGCCUUGAUACCCGUUCCUCUCUCUGGGUCAGAUCCCUUCCACCCCCAUUACACCUCCCACCACCACAGUGUUUCCAGGUGCUGUUAUGGGCUCCUACUGGGAAGAAUAAAGGCCAGAUGCCCAUUAUGCAGAA